AGCAGCCGCGGUAAUUCCAGCUCCAAUAGCGUAUAUUAAAGUUGUUGCAGUUAAAAAGCUCGUAGUUGAAUUUCGGGGUUAGUAAGUUGGUCAUGCCUUUGGUAUGCACUGGCUUUACUGAUUCCUCCUUCUUGACGAACCGUGAUGUCAUUAAUUUGGUGUUGCGGGAAAUCAGGACUGUUACUUUGAAAAAAUUAGAGUGUUUAAAGCAGGCUAACGCUUGAAUACAUUAGCAUGGAAUAAUGAAAUAGGACGUUAAUCCUAUUUUGUUGGUUUCUAGGAUCGACGUAAUGAUUAAUAGGGAUAGUUGGGGGCAUUAGUAUUCAAUUGUCAGAGGUGAAAUUCUUGGAUUUAUUGAAGACUAACUACUGCGAAAGCAUUUGCCAAGGAUGUUUUCAUUAAUCAAGAACGAAAGUUAGGGGAUCGAAGACGAUCAGAUACCGUCGUAGUCUUAACCAUAAASUAUGCCGACUAGGGAUCGGAUGAUGUUAAUUCUUUAAUGACUCA
RNAcentral lists this ribosomal RNA (507 nucleotides) under uncultured Glomus. RNAcentral describes it as "SSU rRNA". It matches the Rfam family "Eukaryotic small subunit ribosomal RNA", at positions 571 to 1089 of the family's 1831-position model. Lineage: Eukaryota; Fungi; Glomeromycota; Glomeromycetes; Glomerales; Glomeraceae. The record is from RNAcentral.